GGAGUUAGCCGGUGCUUCUUCUGUGAGUGAUGUCCUUCCUGCCGGCUAUUAACCCGCAGGCCUUCUUCCUCACUGAAAGUGCUUUACAACCCGAAGGCCUUCUUCACACACGCGGCAUGGCUGGAUCAGGGUUGCCCCCAUUGUCCAAUAUUCCCCACUGCUGCCUCCCGUAGGAGUCUGGGCCGUGUCUCAGUCCCAGUGUGGCUGAUCAUCCUCUCAGACCAGCUACGGAUCGUCGCCUUGGUGAGCCGUUACCUCACCAACCAGCUAAUCCGACAUAGGCUCAUCCGAUAGCGCGAGGCCCGAAGGUCCCCCGCUUUCCCCCGUAGGGCGUAUGCGGUAUUCGCCUGGGUUUCCCCAGGUUAUCCCCCACUACCGGGCAGAUUCCUAUGCAUUACUCACCCGUCCGCCGCUCGCCACCAGGGAGCAAGCUCCCCGUGCUGCCGCUCGACUUGCAUGUGUUAGGCCUGCCGCCAGCGUUCAAUCUGAGCCAUAAUCAAACUCUGA
This 507-nucleotide ribosomal RNA is filed under the name uncultured bacterium. RNAcentral's name for it is "partial 16S ribosomal RNA". The record is from RNAcentral.